This 578-nucleotide ribosomal RNA is filed under the name uncultured bacterium. RNAcentral describes it as "bacterial SSU rRNA". It matches the Rfam family "Bacterial small subunit ribosomal RNA", at positions 86 to 662 of the family's 1533-position model. The record is from RNAcentral.
ACCUAGAGACCGGCGCACGGGUGCGUAACGCGUAUGCAAUCUACCUUUUACAGAGGGAUAGCCCAGAGAAAUUUGGAUUAAUACCUCAUAGUAUUAUUGAAUGGCAUCAUUUAAUAAUUAAAGUCACAACGGUAAAAGAUGAGCAUGCGUCCCAUUAGCUAGUUGGUAAGGUAACGGCUUACCAAGGCAACGAUGGGUAGGGGUCCUGAGAGGGAGAUCCCCCACACUGGUACUGAGACACGGACCAGACUCCUACGGGAGGCAGCAGUGAGGAAUAUUGGUCAAUGGGCGCAAGCCUGAACCAGCCAUGCCGCGUGCAGGAUGAAGCAUCUAUGGUGUGUAAACUGCUUUUGUACGAGAAGAAACACUCCUACGUGUAGGAGCUUGACGGUAUCGUAAGAAUAAGGACCGGCUAACUCCGUGCCAGCAGCCGCGGUAAUACGGAGGGUCCAAGCGUUAUCCGGAAUCAUUGGGUUUAAAGGGUCUGUAGGCGGUUUUGUAAGUCAGUGGUGAAAGCCCAUCGCUCAACGGUGGAACGGCCAUUGAUACUGCAAGACUUGAAUUAUUGGGAAUUAACC